Molecule: long non-coding RNA, 2694 nt
Organism: Lotus japonicus
Lineage: Eukaryota; Viridiplantae; Streptophyta; Magnoliopsida; Fabales; Fabaceae
Exons: 6
Source: RefSeq, a predicted model, not a curated record
GGGAUGGUGGUUUCCGGCGGCGGCGGAAGCCAGCCGGCGACGCAGCUCUGCGGGAUGGAUCGGGAGGCAAGGGUUCUGAGAUACAGGGAGAAGAGGAAGAACCGGAAAUUUGAGAAAACCAUCUUCCAUCCCGUAAGAACGGUAUUUUUUUACAUGUAGGCUCGGUUUCUCACAGGGUUAUGAUCUCAUGAGUAGUUAUGCAAACAAACGGAGACAAGGGAUUUUUUGGAGGGUUCGAAUCAGACUACGGAAGGUGGUCUACUCCGUUUGGAUGGCUGAUGUUUGGCACCGGACAUUGUUCCUUAAAUGGUGGCUGCUGGCUGCUGGCUGGGUGCUCAUACUCGAUUUGGGUUUUCCUGCAAAUUUUCAGAUUUGGUGCGCCUUUGCUGGGAUUAUGGGGAUCCAGUGUGUGCAUUGAUGUGAUUGUUCUUAAUUGAUCUUGAUUGUUAUUCGCUAGCUUUGCAGAAAUCAAAGGAAUGGUAUUGGAAUUUCUCUCCCUCUCUCUUUAUUAUCCCUGAAAGGGCCAGACUUUUUUGUAUAUUUGGUCUUAAAUUUCUCUUCCUGUAGAAAAAGCAGUUUGCUCCCAAAUACAUAAUUGGUUUCUUGGUUUUCCUUUGCUUUUUUUGUUGAAGCAUGAGGCAAACUGUCUCUGGAAUUUCAGAUUCAUGAAUGUCUAUAUGAUAUGGGUAAUUUGCUGUUUUUGGUUUCCCUUUUACGCUUUAGGUAUGAAUACUCUCUCUGUGUUUGGUACUUUUUCAUCAAUUGCUCUAUAGUCUAUCUCAAAGAAUUUCCAUAAAAAAAUACAUAGCUUUGGAUGUUUGUCCUAAUUUGUUACUAAUGUCCCAAAUACAUAAUUGGUUUCUAAUGUAUGCCUAAUUUUAAAAACUGAGUAGAUCUUACUUUUGGUCUAAUUGUUUUUUUUUUGUGCUGUUUAAUCUUAGCAGCACCUUUCUCUGAACCCAAAUCAGAUCCCUCGCUUCAAAACUAACAAAUGGGUUGUCAUGGAAUCUAAGAGCUUGCAACACCAAAUAGAGAUGUGGAAUUAUGAAGCUCAUAUUGUGUUUCUUUGUUUUGUUUUGACUAGCAGUUGUGUAACACCAUUAUAUUAUUAGAAAAAUUGAAACUGAUUGAGGUUGUGCACAAGCAAUAAUAUGGACAGGAAAUGGAGUAAUGAGGGUUUUGUGGUUCUUGAACAAUGGGGUUUGAUUAUUUGUUGUUCAAGUGAUGAAGCGAAGAAGUGACAGUGACAGGUUUGGUGGUUAUAAGGGUAUUCCAGGGAGGGGAAAUGAAAGGAAGGGAGUUUGACAAUCCCACCUCAUUCAACUCUUCAUCAUCUUUCUAUUCAAGCUCAUGGUUUUCAAUUCCUACUGCAAUUAUUUUUUACCAUCAUUGUUGCAAUUUUGGGUUUUCAGAUGAUAAAUACUCCUGCUUAAGAUUCUUAUUUUAGAACAGUUGUUGUGUUAUUUCUGAAGCCAUAAAUCCUAGCAAAUAUGCUAAUUACCUUCCCCUUCAUUAGUGGUGAAGCUACUGUAGUUAAUUAAGAUUUAUGGGUUGGUUCUUCUGCAAAAUGUAGAGCUCAAUUCUGGGUUGGUUAUUCUGCAAAAUGUAGAGCUCAAUUCUGGGUUGGUUAUUCAGCGAAAUGUGGAACUCAAUUGGUGCAUUGCACAUUUUUUUCCCAUCUCUUACCAGUGAGAUAAUAUGCACUAUCUUCUAAAGUUUUAAAUUUUUUUUUCUCCAGUACUUCUCCGGAUGUGACUCUUAUGGUAUUUGCCAGAGGAGACCUCUACUGCCAUCGAUUUAACUGAUUUCAUGUUUUCAGAAGGUUUGCUUGAUUGAGAAAUCUCAAAGUGGGGUGAUGGAAAAUAGGGAUAAUGCAGUUCACUUUUAAUCCACUUUUAAUCAACUAUCAACCUAUGAUGCUUUGUGCACUGUGUUUCUUUUUUGCUCAAAUUUAUUUUACAUCUUAGUGACUAUUCUCAUUCUUCCUUCCCCAUAAGGUACAAAUAGAUGGCAUAUGGAGCUGCAGGUAUCAACCAGUUUAUUGUGGAGUCCCAAAGACUUUGCCACAAAGCAACAUAGUCUGCUUGAGGAGGUUACUCUGCUUUGGAUCCCAUUGAAUCUCAGAGAGUUGUUGAUCUCCUGAAUUCAGAGUUGUCUCCUUUCUCAAGUUGAAACCCAAGGAAUUAUGGAAACCAGUGGCUGUUGACACUUCUUGGUAUGAGGUUCUGGAUAGCUUUUUGCAAUUCAGGAGCAGGUGGUAUGCUUUCCUUCACUGUGGGGUCAAAGGGAUUGUUGAGGGUGUUAUUGUUGGCGAGCUUGAGGUAACUUCAGGAAUAUGGCCCAUAUAACAGAACAUACUUCAAUGGAGACAGUUUGUGCAUCUAAAGAGAAAGAUCAAAAUUCACUCAGGUCCAUUACUCGAUGCAUAAAAAUUUUAGCUUUCAUAAUUUCUCAUAUAGUACUCCCUUUCAUUUGGCACACAUGUACAACUCAAUCCAUAAAUGAGAAAGUCUUAUGUAAUUUUUGGUAUGUCAAUUUUGUUUAAUACAUAAGAAGUAUGUACUCCGUGUUUGGAACUUUCAUAGGUAAAUUUUUGGGGUUGGCUGUUAUUUUGAUUUUGGAUUUUUAAAUUGGCAUUGUCCUAUAGACAUUAAAUUUUUAGUCCAAAAUAAACUCUUUACCCUUUUGGUUGUC